GACGAACGCUGGCGGCGCGCCUAACACAUGCAAGUCGAACGAGCGAGAGAGAGCUUGCUUUCUUGAGCGAGUGGCGAACGGGUGAGUAACGCGUGAGGAACCUGCCUCAAAGAGGGGGACAACAGUUGGAAACGACUGCUAAUACCGCAUAAGCCCACGGCUCGGCAUCGAGCAGAGGGAAAAGGAGCAAUCCGCUUUGAGAUGGCCUCGCGUCCGAUUAGCUAGUUGGUGAGGUAACGGCCCACCAAGGCGACGAUCGGUAGCCGGACUGAGAGGUUGAACGGCCACAUUGGGACUGAGACACGGCCCAGACUCCUACGGGAGGCAGCAGUGGGGAAUAUUGCACAAUGGGGGAAACCCUGAUGCAGCGACGCCGCGUGGAGGAAGAAGGUCUUCGGAUUGUAAACUCCUGUUGUUGGGGAAGAUAAUGACGGU
This 435-nucleotide ribosomal RNA is filed under the name uncultured bacterium. Its description in RNAcentral is "bacterial SSU rRNA". It matches the Rfam family "Bacterial small subunit ribosomal RNA", at positions 28 to 458 of the family's 1533-position model. The record is from RNAcentral.